This 253-nucleotide ribosomal RNA is filed under the name uncultured bacterium. Its description in RNAcentral is "partial 16S ribosomal RNA". It matches the Rfam family "Bacterial small subunit ribosomal RNA", at positions 524 to 776 of the family's 1533-position model. The record is from RNAcentral.
UACGGAGGGUGCAAGCGUUGUUCGGAAUCACUGGGCGUAAAGCGCGUGUAGGCGGCCCCUUAAGUCUGGUGUGAAAGCCCGGAGCUUACCCCCGGAAGGGCACUGGAGACUGGGAGGCUAGAGUACCGGAGAGGAGGGUGGAAUUCCCGGUGUAGCGGUGAAAUGCGUAGAUAUCGUAAGGAAGACCAGUGGCGAAGGCGGGUCUCUGGUCAGUUCCUGACGCUGAGGCAAGAAGGCCAGGGGAGCAAACGGG